This is a non-coding RNA of Camellia sinensis, 390 nucleotides long. Lineage: Eukaryota; Viridiplantae; Streptophyta; Magnoliopsida; Ericales; Theaceae. The record is from RefSeq and is a predicted model, not a curated record.
UCUCUCUCUCUCUCUUUCCCACGUCUCCUCUCCCUUCCAUCUUUAUCUCUCUCUCCCUUUCUGUUGCAUGUCUCCUCCCAUUUCAUCCUUAUCUCUAUCUCCCUCUUUGUUUCGUCUUUGUUCCUCUUCUUUAUCUCUCCCUUCUCUCCGACUGCAGAAAAAUAUUUCAGUUUCAGAUUUUGCCUUCAAAGGCUUGCGAAGAAAGCAGAAAAAUAUUUCAGAAAACCCUUUGCUUUGAAUUGCGAUUUCAGAUUUUGCCUUCAAAGGCUUGCGAAGAAAGCAGAAAAAUAUUUCAGGUUGGAUUUUCCUCAUCUUGCAAACCAGGGCAGUUGGGGAAGUAAAAACACCCCUGUGAAAGGAACUCUUGGAGGGUCAUUGGGCCGACAGAAA